This 63-nucleotide transfer RNA is filed under the name Blepharipa zebina. RNAcentral's name for it is "tRNA-Arg". Lineage: Eukaryota; Metazoa; Arthropoda; Insecta; Diptera; Tachinidae. The record is from RNAcentral.
GAAUAUGAAGCAAUAAAUUGCAUUUAGUUUCGACCUAAAUAUAGGUAUAUUUACCCUUAUUCU